CUAAACUUAUUGCAUAAUAACAUGUUGAAAAAUAAGUUUGGAGGAAAGAAGAAAUACAAAGUAUGUGUGUCACUAUUCACGAAAUACCAUGCUCAAAGGUGGUGGAGUAACAAAUCUCGAAAUCUGCAUCUGUCAAGUUCUGCGCAAUAUUUUUCCCAAGAAAAACAAAACAAAACAAAAGGCAAAAACUAAAAGAAACAAAGAAAAAGAAAACAAAAACAGGAAAAAUAAUUAUGUUACCUUCCAACAAGUGCUUCAUUUAACGUCUAGAGCCCGAUGAUACCUCAUGGCUUUAAUAAAUAUCAAAAGAAG
RNAcentral lists this long non-coding RNA (312 nucleotides) under Salvia miltiorrhiza (redroot sage). RNAcentral's name for it is "long non-coding RNA (SMIL_LNC003414)". Lineage: Eukaryota; Viridiplantae; Streptophyta; Magnoliopsida; Lamiales; Lamiaceae. The record is from RNAcentral.